RNAcentral lists this long non-coding RNA (38595 nucleotides) under Sorghum bicolor (sorghum). Its description in RNAcentral is "long non-coding RNA (SBIC_LNC007760)". The record is from RNAcentral. Lineage: Eukaryota; Viridiplantae; Streptophyta; Magnoliopsida; Poales; Poaceae.
GGCGCUGGUUCUGGAUCUAGCUAUGCUAACAGGUAUUGGUAUGGAUCAAACGACGCAGGUGCUAAUGCUAAUGGCAAUGGUGGUGGCACAGGAAAUAGUCAAAAUGGUGGCGGUGGCGGUGGUUCUGGUGCCGGAACUGGGUAUGGCAAUGCCUACCCAUAAAUUCCAUAUAAGCCAAUCUAAAGUUGGAGCCCAUCGUAGUCCUUCCUUGUUUGAAGUCAUAAAGUUGUUUGUUUUCUUUGUCCCCUUUGUUACACUUUUUUAGCAGUAAAUUAAUAAAGGGUCCAACUGUUCUAGCAACAGUAGCAGUCUUGUAAGGUCCUUAUAUUAAGAUGUUGUAAUCAUGUGGCCACUGUAUCUAAAAAAAUUCUUAUGUUUCCUUUGCAGUGAUUAAGUUUUUUUAGAUAAUGGAUAAAAGUAUCUGGCCUCUACAUCGAGGGAUGUACACAGCCAAUUAUUAUAGAGUUUUGGAUAAAAUAAAAGAGAAACCUUAGUCUUAUAGAUCGACUAGGACGCUAGUUCAAACAAUAAAUAUAUUUUCAUCCUUUAUUGGAUAUCUCUAAAGCAAUUAUUUCUAAUUUCUUGCUCAUCGUUGAGAGUGCGUCCGCGGCUGUCUUAUCAUGCUCCAACAGGGCCCAAGUUCGUAACAAGGAUGACCCAUGCAACAUAAAUUGAGUGUAUUGAAGUUAUUAGGUAACAAGGAUGAUCCCAUGCUAUACUUGCCUUAAACUAAGAUCCUUCUUCAAGUCCAAACCUUUAAAGAACUGCUUCUAGAUUCACCACAUAUAGCUCACCGACUGGAGAAGAUCAAAAGGCACCACACAAGCAUCCGAACAAACAUGCAUAGCAAACAUAUUAAGUUUAGAACACUACAUCAAUCAAUAAAAAGGUUUGAAAACUAAUCUACGCAUUACUACGAGCACAAAGCCAUGAAAAGCACUCUAAUCGGAGCUAUGGUGUAAAACAAAUAACUAAUGAAAGAUUUGCAAGAGUAAAGACUAUAUGCUUGUUUUUUUUUAAUUACAAAACCGUGAAAUGAUAUUUAGUCAUUUUAUAUUUUAAUUGAAAAGCUGAGUUACUAGUCAUAUUUGCAAACAUGUCUCAUAUCAUUUAAGUCAUUUGAACCUUACUUUGGAACAGAAAUAAUCGGGUGAGAAUAUCGAUUUGAGUUUAUAUAAUCAAGUUCAAACUAAGCACAUUGUAUUUAUGUAAUGAUAACAUAGUUAAGUUGUUUUAAUAAAAUUAACAUUUACUUAGAAAAGAGUCAUGUAUAGAACCUAUAUUAAUUUUUAAUUAGAACCUAGUUGCAUAAGCAUUAAUCAUGUAUUAACUUUUAUUUUAUAAAAUUCACAAACAUGUUAUAUGGUAAACAUCAUAACUAGCACGUAGAUUGCAUAGAAUUAAGACUUAACACAAAAAAGAGACUUGAAUCGGUAGUAGAUUGAAGAUUUAGGGGUCUACUGAAAAGGAUGCAACGACCAAAUGAUCAGUCCAUGCAAGUAAAGAAUAGUUCAAGAGCGCUUCUGUUUAUUUUUCAAGAAAGAAAGAUUAUUGUGGAAAGGUGAGAUAAGCAUAUAACACCAGCCAUAUGUAAUUGAUAAAUUACAAUUGCAAGGAACUAAGGUGUGGACGAUGGCUAGUUAGUCAUGGACGUGCUGCUCUCCAAGCUCAGCAUGAUUAUGGUGCCUAUAUGUCCUUGUCCUCUCGAUAUGAUAUGAAUGUAACUUGGAUUUUUUAGUAACUAACCCAUGCUAUGAUUUAUAGAAUGCAAGCGCACAAUUGUGAAAAAAUCCCAAGCCUGAAAGUCAGGUAUGUAGACCCUCAACCCAUAGCACAAACAAAUUUUAAUUACCCCACACACUGGAAAUUGGAUUGCAAAGAGCUAACUCUAGAAAGACGGUUGCAGUGAAAGAGGCAAUCCGUAUGAGGAAAAUAAGGGGAUAGUGCCUUAAGGUUGCGGCAUACAUUGUUGUAUCUUUUAUGCAUCUGCAACAUAACAUUAUCAUAUGGGUACCAUACAACUCGAAAUAAGCUCGACUCCAUACAACAUAACAUUAUCACGGAAGGCAUUGUCCAAAAGCACAAUUUGGGUAUCAAAACUCUAUGUUAGGUAAGUGUAACUGUAACACCCUAAAAUUUACUUCUUUAGAAAUAGAGUUAAAACAAUUUAUUUUUGUAUUUUUAUGCUCGUGAAAACAUAGGAAAAUAAUAUGUUUCAUCAAACUAAAAUCUAAUAUAAGAGUUAGCAACAUGUCUGAGCAUGCAUGCCACUGCAUUUUAUUUAUUGUGAUGAGUGUAUUUGAACCCAAAAUUUAAAAAUUAUUCAAAAUGAUUCGCAAAUUGGUUUGAAAUAAGGUUUUCAAAUAAAAAAAGAGAAAGAAGAAAACCUUCUCCUUCUCAGUUUGGGCCGGAAGGCCUGGUUCUUUCCCCAUCCAGCGGCCCAACUCCCUUCCCCACACCUGCGUAGCAUCGGCCCGAGUGGCCCAGCUUCCCCUCCCCUUCUCCUAGGCCAGAGCAUAGCUUCCUCCUUUGCUCUCGGGCGAGAGGCUAGCUUCCCCAAAACGCUAUCUGGUCGGCCCAGCCAACGGUGUCGAUGCGCCCCACCUCCAUUUUGUGCUAAUAGCCCGGCCCGCUUCCUGAGUCGCUGACAACCCAGACCCAACAGUCAGUCGCAUUCUCUCCAUCUUCCCUGUGUCGUCGAGCCCAACUUAGGCCCGGACCGAGGCACAUCGAGAUUUCCACGGGAUGUUCUCUGUGGGAAGAUCUCCCUUGCCCCUUUUAAGUGUUGAGAGCCCCCUCGGCGAUCUCCUUUUGCAUCUUCACACGGCCGCGUAGCCCUAGCCGCCCUCCCAUCAUCGCUUGGAUCUCACGAAACCGGCAGACCCGGCCGCUGCAGUCAAGCUCUCUACUCGCUGCUGUUCCGUGGAAAUCGAGCUUUGCCGAGCUUCGGAUUGAGGUUGCGAACCUCCCUGCACUUCCCAUCCUCUUUUUCUCCCUCUCUAUGUUAUUGUUGAUCGCCGAACUCGUGUAGGAAGCUCCCGUCCGCCAUCCAGCGUUGCCAGCCAUCUUCGAGCCCUCCCCGACGUUGCAAAGCUCCUAGGUGAGUAUGCAACGAGCUUCUCUCACUCCCCAUGUUUACGGUUUGCUAAAUAGUGUCCUAAAUCACCGUUUUAGCAACACCAGCGAGCCUUCGGCCAUGGUGCUGCCGGGUUCUCCCUCUGUUCUAGUGGUCGGAGCCACCCUGAGUCACCACAGCCGUUCAUCUCAAGAUUGACGGCCAAAAAUAAAACAUACCCCUUCACUUGCACUUUUUAUAAAGAGCCCUUGGAGUUUUUCAAAAUAUAACCCAUAGUCCUUGGCGCUUUUUGUCAAUAUGCCUUUCCCGUUGAAAACAUAUUUCACCCUAUUUGAAUUCAAAAUACAUUUUCUCUAUUUACAAAAUUGCCACUGAUUUUGUUUUAGUCAUAAAAUAUUUGACCCAUUCAAAUUGUGUUAGAUUUGUCUUCACGGGAUCUACUUGUUAGUAAUCUUGGUUCAUCGGUUAGAAAAUUCAUAUCUUCUCCAUUUUAGCUCUGAUUUUUGUGAUCUUUACAUCUACGUGAUCGUAGUGAUGCAUAGAAUCAUUUUAUAAACUUUUCACAUUGCUUUGCUAACGGUUGGUUUACUGUUCUAAUCACAAAUUUGUUUGUUUCGUGUAUGUUUGGCUCUGGUUUGCUUGUGCGUUGCUAUUCGAUGAUCGAGUGUAGGGUGAGCAAUUCGUUGGUGAUCAAGAGUGCUACUACGAUCAAGAUCAGUACCUUGACGACUAGAAGAAUCAGCAGGAGCAAUGGGAAAGCUUUGAUCAAGGCAAGUAUAGCAUUGGGUUUUCUUUAUGGAGAUGAGUUAAUACCCGAAGUUUAGAGUUGUCUAUCCGCUGUUUGCUAUUAAAGGUUAUCUCUUUUGUACUAAGUACGUUAUAUAUUUAUGCGUUGUCUUUUGAUAUUACCCCUUACUUGUAGCUAUAUGUGAGAUUUGGCCUUUAAUACUCGCAUAUGGUGCAUAUCUGGUUUUGUCCUUAAAAUCGGGUAUUACAAAGUGGUAUCAGAGCAAUGCUGACUGUAGGACGCAAGCCUAGUUAGAACUGGACGUUUUAGCAUGCUUCUAUCUUUGCUUACUUCUUGCUUCCACCUUGACCUUGAUAGUUGCUAAAAGUUAUGCUUACUUCUUGCCUAGUUCUUUUAUAAAAUCUUGUCUCUAUUCUAAAUCCUCCCUCUUUGUCUCUUUAGAUGGAUCAUAACGAAGAGACCUUUGACAAGAAGGAACAAAAGCACCCAGAUUUGCCAACCGUAAAAGCAUUCGACAGGGAGAAGCUUCUAGCCAUGCAAACACAAGUAGUGAAAGGAAUAACUCAGAAUAAGAACUCUCAGCAACGCAUCUCAGGACCAGUGAGGAGACAAGUAGCAGAAGCUUGGAAAAAUAUGAGAAAUCAUGGAAGCGUUGGGAGUAAUACAUCAGGAUACCAGGAUCAAUGCCACUGUUGUGAGCAUUAUGGUCUUCCUUGUCUUCGGAAUAUGUCAUCUAAAAAGGAAGUUAAGAAAAAACCAACUUGUGUGACUAAUGAGAAUAAGAAGAGGAAGGCAAAAGCACUAGAGCCGGCAUUGGGAAGUGAUCAACACCCAAAUCCUAAGAUGUCACAUGUAGCUUCGAAUUCUCGUCAGGAAAACCCAAACCUUGGAGAUGAACAAAUUCCCCAAGCUAAUCCCACUGCUCAUGAGUUAUGCAUAGAUGGAUGGACAAUCACUUAUAAAGAGUUUCAACCUCAAAGGAUCAAGCAAUAUAGGAAGAAAUCUAAUCAUACGAAGAUAAACCACCAGAGUCAGCGAGUUCAUGACACACCGAACAACACUUCAGUAGAAAAUAACAUCACAAAGGAUCCAGCUAAGAGAAGGUGUUAUCACUGCCAACAAGAAGGACAUUAUAUAAGCUCUUGUCCACAAAAGAAGCAACAGAUGCAUCGUGAAGAUAACCACGCUAAGUCUAAGAUAUAGGUGUCUGUGUCCCCUGGUGUAAUAAAAAUGCUAGUAGCGAAAGUUGAGUUUGUGUGCCCUGUGAACCUUUAAUGCUUAAUUGCUUGUUAUUAUGUUGUUGACGCCGUUUUUGGACGCGUACCCAGGAAUCGGUAAAGAAUAGAUCGGCAGAAGGAACAACGGUAACUGGUCUACAGGGAAGUUGCCGAUGAGGGUGAUUGCCGAUGAAGAGACGGCUGAAUGUGACUAAGUCCAGAAGUGGUGACGCGUUCGUGCCAAUGGUCAGCGUUAGUCUUUGCCGAUGGUUAUGAUAAGAAGUCUGCCGAUAACUCGGAAGAAGAACGUGAAGGCUGUCGAUUGACCUGUGGUGGUGUCCCGUUAUGUUACGGGAGGAUAGUUUUAUGUUUUCCAUAGAUAUUUUAAUUCGUUUUGUAUAUGGAUUCCGAUUAAUUUGGAGUUUGAGUCCUAGUCGUGUCUGAUUGUAGCUCUUUGAGUAGGGUAUAAAUGUAGACCCUAGGGCCUUGUAACGAAACAUCUAUCAAUCAAUUAAACACAAGUUUUUACUCAUAUUCCAGCAUCUACUUUUUUGACGACUUAAGCUCGGCGUGUUCUCAAGUUCCGCGUGAUCACCUCUUGGCCGUGACAUCCGGGCGCAUCGCUGUUGUCGGGACCAAAGUGGUCGAGUUAUCACCUUUGCCGAUAGUAAGGUCAAAUCGGCUGGCACGCCUUAACGUUUGAAUCGGGUAUUAGCCAUUUGUGUUUGCAGAUCAACUUUUGCACCAACACAUCUUUUGGCACGCCCAGUGGGACUCAGAUUCAAGAUCAAGAUCGACAUGGCGACUAGCGAUUUCGACUUGGAGAACGUCAUCCCCGUGACGGAAGCCAAUCUCAGAGAUGAGCAGAAGCUAGCUAUUGCAAAAGCUAUGGAGGACUACAAGCAGCAAUGUUUGAAAUCCUUCAGUACCAACAGGAGUGGUGAGGUGAUCCAGAAGGAAGCACUGUCGGCUCCCUGGCAGGUUACUUUCGAAGCCAAUCCUGGUAAACUCCAAGACAUGGUUGAUAGUGCUAUUAACCGUGCCUUGAUCAAUCAAGCUGGUGUGCUGUCCAAUAUGGUUUUCAAUGUCGUGGCUAGAACUUUAAAAGAAGGACAAUUGCCACCAAAUUAUGUGGGUCCUUCUCAUCAUCAGCCAGGAUCACCGGUGGUCAUAGCUCCAUCGGUUGCUACAGCCACUGCGGGUAUAGAAACUGUCGUUCCUCCAAGCACGUUAGGAGUCACUAAUGCGCAAUCCACACCGAUGUUGGCCAAUCCAUCAACAUCAGAUGAGUCAACCAAGCUGACCACAGAUCUAUUGGCGUCGGCAAUGUCGGGAUCUGUUCCUCCUAACUGGUGGGGUUUUGGUAUGCCCCCAGAGUUUAUGUUGAAGACACCUGGCGCAUCUCAAACGGCUGAUGUGAGAGGCAAGGCUCCUAUGGCACUGGCACCUCCAAACAUGCCGAUGAAUCAGAGUCCCCAGUAUACUACAACUACUACUGCAAGACCUUACACUGGGAAUUCUCAAGCUCCAACAUUCCAGAUGCCUAACACAUCGGCAGAUUCAAUACCGACGCAACAGAGGUUUAUGACUCAGCCGGGGUAUGUCAACUCAAUGAUGAUGCCCAAUUUCCAGUCAUCGGCAGGGUUUAUGCCGAUGAAUGCCAACAAUGGAUGGAUAGGGCAGCAAGUCUUUCCAUAGAUGCCUCAACAGAAUCAUCAGGCUACAGGGUUUCAACAAGGCCAAAUCCAACCUGGGUUCCAGAAUCAAGGGUUGGUCAACCAGCCGAUGAAUCUUGGUCAACAGUUUGGUGGUCAGAUGAUCAACCCUAUGUUCCAUGCAGAUCGUGCACCUCAGCAACACGUAGAGGUUUAUCAGCAGGUGCCAGAUCCACAACCACCUCAUCGGCAAGAUGCCGAUGCUUAUUGGGCCGAUAAGAUUGCUGAAGUAAUGAGAGACCAGUUUGGGAUAAAACCGAAAGUCAAUACUUACUCUUAUCGGACACCGUAUCCUCCUGCAUAUGAUUUAAUCUCACUUCCAAAUUGGUACAAGGUACCCGAUUUUACUAAGUUUUCUAGACAGGAUGAUACGUCAACUAUGGAGCAUGUCAACAGGUUUAUCAUCCAAUGUGGCGAGGCUGCUAACAGAGACGAAUUGAGAGUUCGCUUGUUCUCGUCAUCCUUGUUUGGAUCGGCUUUCACCUGGUUUAUUUCAUUGCCUCCUAACUCAGUGAUUACUUGGGCCGAUCUAGAGAAGCAAUUCCAUAAAUACUUCUUUUCUGGAGUCCAUGAGAAGAAGAUCACCGAUUUGGUCAAAUUUAAGCAACGCAAUGAUGAAUCGGUUGAAAGUUUUGUGCAGAGAUUGCGGGAGGUCAAGAACAAAUGCUAUAGUCUGGUUUUGGACGAUCGGCAGCUAGCCGAUUUGGCUUUCCAAGGUUUAUUGCCACAUGUCAGGGACAAGUAUGCCUCUCAAGAAUUCAAAAGCUUAAGUCAUUUGGUGUAGAGAAUUUCUGAUCAGGAUAUCAGACCUUUUGAGCCCAAGAGAGCAUGGAACAAAAAGGUGUCAUUUGUUGAUGAAGCAACAAGCUCAGAUUCUAAUGAGGAGCCAGUCAUCGGUUUGGCAGAGUGGGUAAAAAACAAGAAGCCGAUGUCUUGCCCUUACGGGCAUAAAGAGCCGGAGAAGUUCGCAUUUGAUAUCACUAAAGCCGAUAGAAUAUUUGACUUUCUACUUCAAGAAGGCCAGAUCAAGUUGUCGCCCAAUCAUGUGAUCCCAUCGGCUAAAGAAUUAAGGAAGAUGAAAUAUUGCAAGUGGCACAAUGCGACUUCUCACAGCACCAAUGAAUGCAAAGUUUUCAGGCAACAGCUGCAAUCGGCUAUAGAAUCUGGGAGAAUAAGGUUUGAUAGUUCUAAAGCUCAGAAGCCGAUGAAGAUUGAUCAACAUCCUUUCCGAACAAAUAUGCUGGAUGCUAAGGGAAAGACUAAGGUUUUGAAGUCAGAAGCAGCUGAAAAGAGUGCGUCGGUAGAUCCUCAGCACCAAAUUACUGUUGCCGAUGCCAAAGGGAAAGGCUUGAUCCAAGAAAGAAAUAGCUCAGGAAGGCCUCCCCGAUCCGGUAUUGUGAUAACUCAUAGAAGGCGUCGGGAAACUUGGCAGCAACGUGAAGAUCGGUAUCGGCGCCAGCAAGAAGACUAUCGUCGGGAAGAAGAAAGACGACGACAGGAAUGGAAUCGGCACAGAGAUCACUGGAACUGCCCGUUCUUCAUCGAUUGCUGGGAGCAGAAUAUUAAAUUACCCACUGUUAGAGAUUGCCCUGGAUGCAAUGGUUAUGAUCGGUAUGAUAGAUCCGAUCGGCGCUAUCAUAAUGAUGAUCGGCAGUUUAGUGGGCCAAUUAGGGGAAGAGCGUCAGUUCAUGAUUGGCUGGGGGGCAGACUCAGUGUACACGAUAGGCUUGGUGAUCGUGUUCAAUAUUUUCCCAGGAAUCAAGAAGAGCUUGAAGAGAUGGUAAAUGCACGAGUUCCUGAUGAGUUCAUAUUUUGCAGGGACGCUAAUACUCAUUGGAUGGAGUCAAGGGAACAUCGUCGUCCAUCGGCAAGGCAGUCACCACUUCCCCCAUGGUGUCCAGAGGGGUUGACUAAGACAUAGAAAAGGAGACUGCAGCGCGAAAGACGAGAAGAGCUAAGCAAGGGCGAGGACUCUGGCCAGUCUGGGGAUCAGCAACAACCAGAUCCUAAAGGGAAAGGGCCAUCAGCAGAUGUUAACAUGGUAUUUAUGUUGCCGAUGGAAUUCCUUGCGCCAUCCAGUGAUGACGAGGAGUUAGAGUUUUCCGACCAGAUAGCUCAGUUGGCUCUAGAUCCAAUGACAGCUAUCUUUGAAAAGCCCGCUGAUAAUGAAAGGCAGCAUCUUAAAGCUCUGUUUGUCAAAGGAAGAGUUGAUGGUCAGCCAAUGACUAAGAUAUUAAUAGAUGGUGGAGCUGCUAUUAACAUCAUGUCGUAUGCAGUCUAUCGGAAGCUUGGGAAAGGAGAUCAAGAUUUGACCAAGACUGAUAUGAUGUUGAAAGACUUUGAAGGGAAUGUGUCUCCAGUUAAGGGGGCAAUAUGCGUCGAGUUGACUAUCGGCAGCAAAACCUUGCCGAUAACCUUCUUUGUGAUCAGUGGAAAAGGUGCUUAUAAUUUGCUACUAGGGAGAGAUUAGAUUCACGCCAAUUGUUGCACCCCGUCUACGAUGCACCAAUGCUUGGUUCAGUGGGUAGGUGACAAAAUUGAGAUUGUCCCAGGAGAUUCUUCUUAUGUCGUCGCAUCGGUAGAGGCAGAUACCUAUGAAAGGACUAGGUGUAUCUUGGGAGAAAUUUGGGAGAAGGACUUCCUCAAAGUUGCCGAUUAUGAAAUUCCACCGAUCCAAGCAGUCGGUUCUGAUGAGGAGUUUUAAUGGAUAGGUUCGCAGAUGAUGGAAAAUUAGGCCAGGGAUUCACAUCGACCGAUGAUUUAGUAGAAGUAGAUAUAGGCAAUGGUGAUAAACCUAGACCUACUUUUAUUAGUGCUAAGUUAAAUUCUGAGUGUAAGCAGCAGUUAACCGAUUUGUUAAAGGAAUAUAAAGAUUGCUCUGCUUAGGAUUAUACUGAGAUGCCUGGUUUAGACCGAUCAAUCAUUGAACAUCGGUUACCUAUCAAGUCUGGAUUUCGGCCACAUCAGCAGCCAGCUCGCCGAUGUAAUCCUAAUAUCCUUCCUGAUAUCAAGGCCGAGAUAACCAAACUUAUCGAAGCUAAAUUUAUUCGGCAAUGUCGGUAUGCCGAGUGGAUUUCCAAUGUUGUUCCAGUCUACAAGAAAAAUAGGAAGCUUCGGGUUUGCAUUGAUUUCAGGAAUCUUAACAAAGCUACGCCGAUGGAUGGUUACCCAAUGCCAGUUGCCGAUCUACUAGUUAAUGCUGCGGCUGGACAUCGGAUCAUCAGCUUUAUGGAUGGUAAUGCAGGGUACAAUCAGAUAUUCAUGGCUGAAGAAGAUAUUCCAAAAACUGCAUUUAGAUGUCCUAGUCAUGUUGGGUUGUUUGAAUGGAUAGUCAUGACCUUUGGCUUGAAAAAUGUUGGUGCUACUUAUCAGAGGGCCAUGAAUUUUAUCUUUCAUGAGUUCAUCGGCAAUCUGGUGGAAAUUUAUAUUGAUUAUGUGGUGGUUAAGUCUGGAGAUUUCACAAAACAUCUUGACGAUUUACGAAAAGUGUUGGAAUGCACAAGGAAGCAUGGUUUAAAGAUGAACCCUAACAAGUGUGCAUUUGGUGUAUCGGCAGGGCAAUUCCUUGGUUUCAUGGUGCAUCAAAGGGGGAUUGAAAUUAGUAGGAGAUCCAUUGAUGCCAUCAAUAAAAUAGUUGCUCCUACCAACAAGACUGAGCUCCAGUCCUUGAUCGGCAAGGUAAAUUUUAUCAGGAGGUUUAUAUCUAACUUGUCUGGUAAAAUUCGUGCUUUCAGUCCUUUACUCAAGUUGAAAGCCGAUCAAGAAUUUAUAUGGGGGAAAGAGCAACAGUUGGCUUUAGAUGAAAUCAAGAAUUACUUGAUAAAUCCUCCAGUUCUGAUCCCACCUCAGCAUGGAAAGCCUUUCAGAUUAUAUUUAUCUACCGAUGGGAUGGUCAUCGGUUCAGCUUUGAUUCAAGAAUUUGAAGAGAAGGAGCGUGUAAUUUACUAUUUAAGUAGAAGAUUGGUUGAUGCUGAGACUAGAUAUUCGGCCAUUGAAAAGUUAUGUUUAUGCCUAUAUUUCUCAUGUAUUAAGUUGAGGCAUUAUUUGUUAUCGGCUGAAUGCACUGUUAUAUGCAAAGAUGAUGUGGUCCGAUAUAUGCUGUCUAUGCCGAUUAUGAGUGGUCGGAUCGGUAAAUGGAUCUUGGCACUGUCGGAAUUUGAUCUGCGUUACGAAUCGGGUAAAGCGGUUAAAGGACAGAUUAUGGCCGAUUUUGUGACUCAACAUUGCGAUGCAGUAGAGGCUUUGGAAAUUGUACCUUGGACGCUCUUCUUUGAUGGAUCCACGUGUGACCGGGGGGCAGGAAUCGACAUAGUAUUCAUUUUCCCUCGGGGAAGGAAAUAUGAGUUCGCCUUGCCGAUUGUUGCCACGUCAACAAAUAAUCAAGCCGAGUAUCAAGCUUUCAUAAUGGGUUUGGAAUUAUUAAGAGAAGUCCAUGCUGAUGCUGUUGAAGUCUUUGGGGAUUCUAUGCUUGUUAUAAAUCAAUUGGCUGGGAGCUAUGAAUGCCGAAGCGAAGUCCUGAUAGCUUACUAUGAAAAAAGUUUGCGACUAUUGAGGGAAUUCAGAGAUUUCCGAUUAGAGCAUAUUCCUCGAUUACAUAAUGAGGAAGCUAAUCGGUUGGCUCAGCAUGCUUCAGGGUAUCAACCCAUGGUUAACAUGUUAUCGGCAAUCGGUGCCGAUGAUUGGAGGAAGGAGAUCGUUGAUUAUUUAAAAGAUCCAUCCAGGAAAGUUGAAAGGCGUGUUCGGUUUCAAGCCACCAAGUAUGUGCUCCUUGUAGAUGAGUGUUGAUAUUUGGGAACGCAAUAAGGAAUUGAUCCGCAAGCGCACGGAUAUCGGUGAGCACUUCACCCGGGAAAUUAUCCAGAGUAUCGUAUUUAUUUUUUUACCACUAGGAGAAAGAGUGCAUCUGACUAACCGGUCUAUUACUACUAACCUUUAGGCACAAAGAAUGUCUUUCGAUGUGAGUGAUAAAUAGAGAAGACUGCAACCGUAGUCUCCUUCUAACCUUGGUAAGGAUGAUCUAUUGUUCUAAUGGGGAGGCUAACGGAAUCUAGACAACACAAAGGAUGUUCGACCCGCACCUAUAAACCCUAUCCUUCCUGCUAACGAGAUGUGAUCUACAAAGGUAGCUCGGAAUUGUCACGUUCCUCACUACUACCACGGUCCAGCUAGUCAGGGAAUAUCUAUGAGUACCCCAGCCUAAACACCACGUUUACGCCAGCAAUGAUUACUCUAAACUCUACGCGAAGAGAUUAAAGUAAACUCAUAAACCAUAAGAACAAUAAAACAAGAACUUACUAGAAUUUAGAAGUCGAAUUACUGAAGAAUCCUAGGAGCAAGCUUCGGGUUAGGAGAACUUGAUCCCGCAGGUACAAGCUUGGAGUAGACACCGACAGGCCGGGCUUCCUCCACUCUACACCUCCACUCUAUCUCUCUCAAUCUAGUAGAAACUAGAAGAUCUAUUUCUACCUUACAUUGGUUGCUAAGCCUAAAAAGAAAUAUUAAUCAGAGAAGAGGUUUUCCUUCGAGGGCACCCCUCAGUCUCUAUGAUAAUUUCUUCAUGUCUUCUCCAGGGGCCAGGGGCCUUGCUUAUAUAGUCCUCCCCUUCUAUGCGUUUUUGGGUCGAUAGGCGAGGUGGUACUAUGUUUUUCUUGAUCCAAUAGGUCGGUGGAAUAUCCCGAGCGAAGAGAGUCCUGAUCUGGCUCCAGAGGGGGGCGGGCGCCCAGGCCUCCAGGGCGGGCGCCCUGGGCCUGGCCCCGUUUCGCCUCCGCUUCGGUCUCGUGGCUUCUGGAGUCUUCUAGAUAAUGUAAAAUCGCGCGGUGCGUUGAUAUCUCUAUGUAAUCCCGACAUGUGGGCCUUUCUUCCUUAUUUCCUGAUAACCCCCUGCAGAAAUAGAUAAACAACAAAACUCGUGGAAUUCUGUCAGAUCAAACCCUAAUUCUAGGUGUUGUUUGCAUAUUGGUCCUUUCUCUUGUUUAUUUGAUAAUUAAAAUUGAUACUUAAGAACCGUCAACAAAUACCCCCAUACUUAGGCUUUUACUCGUCCUCGAGAAAAGGAUGGUUAAGAAAAAUAUUUGGGGUAAACAUUUAAAACAUUCUCUUUAUAUUUGCAGGGUGUUAAAAAUCCACUGUGUACCAUAGUCAGGGAAAUUUAUGAUCAAGAGUAGAGAUCCUUUCUUCUCAAUCCUGUCACUUGGAGUUUUUUUGUAUAUUUUUGAAAGAAAGUUAGCAUACCUUUUUAUCCUCAUAGGUUCUCUCAAAUCACUUAUUAUCUUUUAUAUAUAUCUCACUGAGGCUGUUUUAUUUUGCAAAAAUUCUCAAGCAUUCUUACUUUGCAUUUAUUGCCUGAUCAAAACGGGAUCCGAGGAGGGGAAUGUCAUACUCUUAGAUCAAAGACUUUAAAAAUUAAAAACUUUGUCAACUCUUGCUGGCAUAUUGCUUAUUAGAGGGACCAUGGGCUAUCAUUUUUUUCUCUCUUUUUUUUUAAGUGGAUACCGAGGUACCCCUAAUUCUAUUGCCGGACACUUGUCCAUUUUUUUCUGUGAGGUUAUCGAGCACUUGCUCCUUUUUAUUUCCUCGAAACAUUCCUAUUUUUGCAUAGCCCAUGCCUCUAAUGCAAUAAUACUUCGGAAGAGUGAAUCUUACUGAAAUAAUGUCUUGAUCUUAGGAGCAUGAUAAAUCUCUCAACAAGGGUCUAACUCAUUUUGAACAAACUCAAUACAGAGCAGAUAGCUUUUAUAAUCAUAAUUAAUAUUUUCAGUUUUAUCAGGCAUAUAAAACUGAGGAUGGUAGCUAGAAUUUUGAAUAUUUUGAAAUAAACUCUUCAAGCAACAAUGAUAUCAAGAAUAAGAAACUCAUACUCUACCAUCUUACAUUCCAUACUGUCUUAAGUAACACAGGGUUUUAAAAUGAUUUUAUAAUAAUUGCAAGUUUUUAGGAAAUAUCACAGAUUGAGAUUAAUCAUGAUUAGAAAUAUUUUAAUCUUUUUAUUUUAUCAUGUCGGAAACAAUAAUCUGCAUAAUCCAAAAUAAAUGUAUGUGUAAAAUGUGCAGAGUGUGUACCUGAAUCGUGGAGUGUCGAGGGAUCUCCCCCAUACUUGUUUUCUGCUUUCUUGCACAAAAAUAAAGUAGAGACACACAAGACAUAAUAAUAAUAAUACUCUUUAUUGAUCUUGAGGCAUUUAGUACAAAAGACUGAUAGCAAACUGAUAAUAAUAGUAAACUGAUGAUAAUAGCAAACUUAAACCGAAUUUAAAGAUAGAUGACUAAGAUGUAUUGCCUCAAAGUCUAAUCUAGAUAACUUAGCGGCGCUCUAAUUCUUUGAUCUUCUUGUUGUCACUGGCAAGAUCCUGCCUAAGGCCUAGUAUAAUGGUGUUGUGGUUAGAGAGCUGCCUAGUGAGGGAAUUAAUCGAGGACUGGAGGUCUAUGAUAACUCUAUCUAGCCUGCGAACUUCCUCAUCAAUAUCCAUUAUAGUCUUGCGACGCUUGGGAGGUGUCUCAAAAGCGUUGAGAGCAUGCUUCGGGGCUGCCUUUGGAGGGAUGAAACGGACUUUAGAUGCUCUAAUCCCUUCAAAGUAAGGCCUUUCCUCCUCUGUAGUGUAGCGUACGCUGCUGAUCUCGUCGCUCCGGUUGGUCUUGACUCCAACGACCCUCUCAUUGGGUCUUGGUGGAAGGAUCCUUGUGCCGAUUGGCACCUUGAUAGUGGUCUUCGUCUUGGAUGAUGAUCCUGUGAGGAGUAGGGGUUGUGGCGGUGCGGUGAGAACUGGUUGAGCAUGGUAAGAUUGGGCGGAGCUGCGUUGGCGUAAUGGCAUGGCUUCUAGCUGACGCUCUGUGUUGGCCGGGACGAGAGCACGGGCAUCGGGGUCUUCCACAGGCUCCAUGUUGAGGUUGAAGGGGACGACUUCCCAAUCAUCGUGGUACUUCUCGGCCAUUGGAGCAACAAGGAACUAAUAAAAUUUUAAUUGAAGUAGAGCUAAUCAAGCUCUAAUUGAAGGAGAGCUAAUCAAGCUCUAGUUGAAGGAGAGGAGGCUUGGUGUUUGACAACUGAGGUCAGGGGUCUGUUUAUAUAGGGGUCAAAAGGGUGCCUCUAUGGGUUGUUCGGGUUGCUCCCGUCGAUGUGCGUGCGAAACUUUCCAUCCGAGGGAUUAUUCGGAUCACCCUAAGUGCAUUUUCCAUAACAGAGAAAGUCGGGACCGAGGGGGAACAGGGGCUGGGCGCCCGCCCACUUGACCUGGGCGCCCGCCCUCUCUCUGGCCCCUCUGUGGGCCCACUUUUCCGAGCGCGUUUCUAGAUGCGAAAUUAUUUAGAAAAAUAUAUAUAUGACCCAAAACCAUCAGACCAAAAGUGUCGGGCUCUAAUUCUCCAUGGGAAGGUAAAAAUGGACUACGUCUAUUUCUUCAAUUUCCUCAUUGGGCUCUAAAAAUAAUUUAAGACGUUGACCAUUUACCUUGAAUAACGUACCUUUGCUAUUUUGAAGUGUGAUAGCUCCGUGGGAUGAUGAAUUGAUUACCUUGAAUGGUCCUUCCCAUUUGCUCCGGAGUUUUCCAUGCCCGAAAAGCUUCACCCUGGAAUUGAAAAGUAAUACCUUAUCUCCGGGUGUGAACUCCUUCUUCUUGAUUCUCUUGCCAUGCCACCUUUUGACUCUUUCUUUGUAGAUCUUUGAAUUGUGAUAUGCCUUCUCUCGCCAUUCUUCCAAUUCUGAUAGUUGCAUUCUUCUAUAAUCUCUAGCAACAUCUAGGUCCAUAUUCCAUCUCUUUAUGGCCCAGUGUGCUUUGAACUCUAGUUCAACAGGUAGGUGGCAAGUCUUCCCGUACACCAAUUAGUAUGGAGACAUUCCGAUUGGGGUCUUGUAUGCUGUCCGGUAUGCCCAGAGUGCAUCGGGUAACUUGUCUUUCCACGCCGUUCCCAUUUCAUUUACUGUCUUCUGAAGAAUAUUCUUGAUUUGUUUGUUGGAAGUCUCUGCUUGGCCACUUGUCUGAGGAUGAUAGGGGGUAGCGACGUUGUGACGGAUUCCAUGUCUUGAUAGAUAUUGCUUGAAGCGUUUGUCGAUGAAGUGUGCUCCUCCAUCACUUAUCACUACUCUAGGGACUCCAAAUCUUGGAAAUAUAAUUUCUUCAAACAUCCUCUUUGAACUGACGUUGUCGGCAUGCUUGCAAGGUAAUGCUUCUACCCACUUGGAGACAUAGUCAACUGCCACCAAGAUGUACUCACACUUUUUUGAUGGAGGAAAUGGACCCAUGUAGUCUAUUCCCCAGACAUCAAAGAGCUCAAUCUGAAGGUUGUUGGUGAGUGGCAUUGCAUCCCUUGUAUUUAUGUUUCCGUGUCUUUGACAUGGCCCACAUCUUCUGAUAUAUUGCUUCGUGUCUUCAUACAUUGUAGGCCAAUAGAAUCCACACUGCCAGAUCUUUGAAUGUGUACGGAAUGCUCCAUAGUGACCUCCAUAUGGUGAUGAAUGACAUCUGUCGAUGAUCUUCCAUCCUUCCUUAGUGGUCACACAUCUCCUGAGUAAGCCAUCAGAGCAUACUCGGAAGAGGUAUGGCUGAUCCCAUAUAUGUGAACGACUUUCUUGAAUAAGCUUCUUCUUGUUUGCUCCUGGUGGUACAUACCCUGAAACCAUAAAAUUAACAAUAUCUGCAUACCAGGGGUCAGACCCGUUAAUCCCGUAGAGCAUGUCGUCCCGGAGUGAAUCAUUGAUGGGGGUUUCCUGUGGAUUCUUGAAAUACAUUCUAGACAAGUGAUCAGCAACAGAAUUUUCUACUCCCUUUUUAUCUUUUAUUUCUAAGUCAAAUUCUUGGAGUAAUAAGAUCCAUCUAAUCAGGCGAGGUUUAGCAUCUUUUUUAGUGAGCAAAUAUUUUAAUGCAACAUGAUCAGUGUAAACAAUUAUUUUAGCUCCAACUAAAUAAGAUCUAAAUUUAUCAAUGGCAAAGACAACAGCCAGAAGCUCUUUUUCAGUGGUUGCAUAGUUAAGUUGAGCUCCUGUCAAAGUUUUACUGGCAUAAGCAAUUGCAUGAUGCUUCUUAUUUUUAGUUUGUCCUAAUACUGCCCCCACAGCAUAAUCACUAGCAUCACACAUAAUUUCAAAAGGCAACGACCAAUCAGGGGGUUGAAUGAUUGGUGCAGAGAUGAGUGCUUUCUUUAAUAAAUUGAAAGAUGUUAGACAUGCAUCAUCAAAUUCGAAAGGAGCAUCCUUGGCUAGCAAAAGAGUAAGUGGUCUAGCAAUAAAUGAAAAAUCUUUUAUGAAUCUACGAUAAAAACCAGCAUGGCCAAGAAAGCUUCGAAUUCCUUUUAUAUUCACAGGUGGAGGUAGUUGUUCAAUUACUUCAAUUUUAGCUUUGUCUACCUCAAUCCCUCUUUCAGACACUAAGUGUCCUAGCACUAUUCCUUCUCUAACCAUAAAAUGACAUUUUUCCCAAUUAAGGACUAAGUGCUUUUCUUCACAUCUUUGCAAAACCUUGUCUAAGUUUUCAAGACAACUAUCCAAAGUUUUUCCAUAAACAGAGAAAUCAUCCAUGAAAACUUCCAUAAUCUCUUCAAUCAUAUCAGAAAAUAUAGACAUCAUGCAUCUUUGAAAAGAAGCUGGUGCAUUACAUAACCCAAAAGACAUUCUACGAUAAGCAUAAGUUCCAUAUGGGCAUGUAAAAGUGGUUUUGCUUUGAUCAUCGGGAUGGAUCGGGAUCUGAUGAUACCCUGAAUAUCCAUCUAAGAAACAGAAGAACGAAUGGUUUGCUAACCGCUCUAGCAUCUCAUCUAUAAAAGGUAAAGGAAAAUGAUCCUUUCUUGUGGCUUUGUUUAGUUUUCUAUAGUCUAUGCACAUCCGCCAUCCUAUGACGGUGCGUUGCGGAAUUAGCUCGUUCUUUUCAUUCAUAAUAACUGUCAUGCCUCCCUUUUUGGGCACAACUUGUACUGGGCUCACCCACUCACUGUGCGGCACAGGAUAUAUAAUCCCUGCAUACAGCAACUUUAUAACUUCCUUUUUAACUACCUCUCUCACAGUGUUGUUAAGUCUACGUUGGGGUUCUCGAGAGGGUGUAACAGAAGGAUCUGUUGGAAUACGAUGGGUACAAAUCAUAGGACUGAUUCCUGUAAGAUCUUGAAGUGAGUAGCCGAAAACUGAGUGAUGUUUCUCAAGAAUGGUCAUCAAUCGCAGGGUUUGAUCCUGAGUGAGUUUAUCGCUAAUGAUCACAGGGAACUCUGGAUUAUUGUUUAGGAAAGCAUAGGUAAGACCGGGUGGCAAAGUUUUAAGCUCUAUGGGAGGUCUAGGUGUUUCUGCAAACUCAUCUAAGGGUUCAGGCUCAGAAGGUUCGUCUUCUUCUUCAGUGAAGAAAGGAGUUUCGUCUUCUAAGUCUGGUUCAUCUAAAAGCUCUAGACAUGCAGCCUUUACCUCCUCCAUAGGAUCAGGCAAAAGAUAUGACUCGGCCUUAUUGUUUAAGGAGUGUGAAAUUAUUAUUGGGAAUUUAAAGGUUUUUCCAAAAGAAAUGUGUAGCUUUCCAGUAUGACCUUCAUAAAGGAGUCUUCUAAAAGGUUGUCCUAUCAACAGGUCGAAGUCCCAUGUAUCAAAGAUAUAGAAGUUCAAAUGAACCAUGGAGCCUUCUACUGUAAGAGGUAGGACAUUAAUAAUUCCAAGACUGGGGACUAAUCGUCCCGAAGAUUCCUUUAUGACCUUUGUUGUGGGGGUUAAGAUAAGAUUUUUAAAUAGUUUAAGUGCAAAGGAUUCAGACAUAAUGUUGAUCCCCACAACAGGAUUAUAAAGAGCAUUAAAUCGAUCAGAAUUAUAAGCACAGCGUAUAGUUAUAGAGGGUGUGUCCAAACGGAUCACAUCAGAGGAAAGCUCUGAUUCCUCCAACCAUUCGCUACUCAUUACUGAGAUAAGCUCUCUCAAUUGAUAUUCACUUGGUAAAUAAAUGCUAAAUUGGCCGUUUUGGGGUUUGUCAAUAGAAUGGUAUUUUGUAAUAAUUCCAAAAUCGGCAAAAAGAUCGGAUUCUAUAUCCAGCAUGAAGUCCGGUAGUGGAAUUUCUUCCUCUUGUGGCUCAGAACUUGGGAUAGCUAAAGUAGAUGAAGAAUUUGGUAGAGUGUCUACUUCGGCUUUGUAGGUUUCAUCAUGAAGGGUAUUAUCCAUCUCAGCUUCUAGGAUUCUAUCUAGGAUCACUCUAGCUUCAUCAGCAGGGAUGCAAAAGAAAGAACCUCUAGACAUUGUGUGAAGCAUUUGUUUUUGAUUUUUCUGAAGACCUCGAAAAAAGUGGAAUAAAAGAAUAGGGUCUUCAAGAUUAAGGUUUGGACCAGAUUCUAAAAGAUUAGAAAAACGUUUCUAGGAUUUUCCCAAAGUUUCAUUAUCUUUUUGUUUAAAAGAUAGGACUUCGAGUCUAAGGUCGGCUAUACGGUCAAGGGAAUAGAAAUCUAGACAAAAGUUGGCUCGUAAAACUCCCCAUUCACCUUGUUGUUGACUUACCUUUUGACUGUACCAUUGUCUAGCUUCUCCCCUUAAAGAAAAAGGAAAAGUCUUCCAACGUAAAGUUUUAUCAGAAAUGCCUUCAAUGCGAAGACAAUCACAUGUUUGCUCAAAAUCUCUAAUAUGAAGGUAAGGGUUUUCGUCUUCCUUUCCCGAAAAAGAUAUACUUUGAAUCAUGGCAAUCAACCUAGAACUUAACUUAUACUGGGAUGUUUGGAUAGGCUGUGAUGAUUCCCAUGGUAAAAGGUCAGUGGCUAAAGGGAUUGCAGACUCAUGGAUCGAUUUAGAAUUUUGGUUUUCCAUAAGGUAAGAAUAAAGAAAAUAAAUAAAGGAUAUAAAAGAUAAGAAAAGAUAAAAGUAUAGAUACAAGCUAAUAGCAAGACACAGGUUAUCUCAGGAACCGUCUUUCUCCCCGGCAACGGCGCCAGAAAUGCUUGUUGAUAUUUGGGAACGCAAUAAGGAAUUGAUCCGCAAGCGCACGGAUAUCGGUGAGCACUUCACCCGGGAAAUUAUCCAGAGUAUCGUAUUUAUUUUUUUACCACUAGGAGAAAGAGUGCAUCUGACUAACCAGUCUAUUACUACUAACCUUUAGGCACAAAGAAUGUCUUUCGAUGUGAGUGAUAAAUAGAGAAGACUGCAACCGUAGUCUACUUCUAACCUAGGUAAGCAUGAUCUACUGUUCUAAUGGGGAGGCUAACGGAAUCUAGACAACACAAAGGAUGUUCGACCCGCACCUAUAAACCCUAUCCUUCCUGCUAACGAGAUGUGAUCUACAAAGGUAGCUCGGAAUUGUCACGUUCCUCACUACUACCACGGUCCAGCUAGUCAGGGAAUAUCUAUGGGUACCCCAGCCUAAACACCACGUUUACGCCAGCAAUGAUUACUCUAAACUCUACGCGAAGAGAUUAAAGUAAACUCAUAAACCAUAAGAACAAUAAAACAAGAACUUACUAGAAUUUAGAAGUCGAAUUACUGAAGAAUCCUAGGAGCAAGCUUCGGGUUAGGAGAACUUGAUCCCGCAGGUACAAGCUUGGAGUAGACACCGACAGGCCGGGCUUCCUCCACUCUACACCUCCACUCUAUCUCUCUCAAUCUAGUAGAAACUAGAAGAUCUAUUUCUACCUUACAUUGGUUGCUAAGCCUAAAAAGAAAUAUUAAUCAGAGAAGAGGUUUUCCUUCGAGGGCACCCCUCAGUCUCUAUGAUAAUUUCUUCAUGUCCUCUCCUGGGGCCAGGGGCCUUGCUUAUAUAGUCCUCCCCUUCUAUGCGUUUUUGGGUCGAUAGGCGAGGUGGUACUAUGUUUUUCUUGAUCCAAUAGGUCGGUGGAAUAUCCCGAGCGAAGAGAGUCCUGAUCUGGCUCCAGAGGGGGGCGGGCGCCCAGGCCUCCAGGGCGGGCGCCCCGGGCCUGGCCCCAUUUCGCCUCCGCUUCGGUCUCGUGGCUUCUGGAGUCUUCUAGAUGAUGUAAAAUCACGCGGUGCGUUGAUAUCUCUAUGUAAUCCCGACAUGUGGGCCUUUCUUCCUUAUUUCCUGAUAACCCCCUGCAGAAAUAGAUAAACAACAAAACUCGUGGAAUUCUGUCAGAUCAAACCCUAAUUCUAGGUGUUGUUUGCAUAUUGGUCCUUUCUCUUGUUUAUUUGAUAAUUAAAAUUGAUACUUAAGAACCGUCAACAAUGAGCUGUAUUAUCGAACAAUUGAUGGGGUUCUUCUCAAGUGCUUAGGUGAUGAUGAGGCUAAAAGUUUGAUGGGAGAAAUCCAUGAAGGAGUGUGUGGAGCGCAUCAGUCGGCAUUUAAGAUGAAGUGGACGAUCAGGAGAAAUAGGUAUUAUUGGCCGACUAUACUUGAGGAUUGUUUUAAGUAUUUCAAAGGGUGUCAAGGAUGUCAGAAAUUUGGUAAUGUUCAAAGAGCACCCGCAUCGGCCAUGAAUCCUAUUAUUAAACCCUGGCCGUUCCGGGGAUGGGCUAUUGACUUAAUUGGCCAGAUUUAUCCACCAUCAAGCAAAGGACAUAAGUUUAUCUUGGUUGCCACCGAUUAUUUCACCAAGUGGGUUGAAGCUAUUCCUUUAAAAAAGGUCACAUCGGCCAACAUGAUUGAUUUUGUGAAAGAGCAUAUUAUUUACCGUUUUGGUAUUCAUCAAACAAUUACUACCGAUGAGGGUACUAGUUUACGUCGGGGGAGUUUGAUGAGUUUGCAAUCGGUAUGGGAAUUAAGGUGUUAAAUUCUUCUCCUUAUUAUGCUCAAGCUAAUGGACAGGCCGAAGCAUCUAACAAAGGAAUUAUCAAACUUAUUAAACAGAAAGUUGAAGAAAAUCCUAGGAGGUGGCAUACGUUGUUGAAUGAAGCUUUAUGGUCAUAUCGGAUGGCUUGUCAUGGGUGGACCAAAGUUUCACCUUAUCAGUUGGUGUAUGGGCAUGAUGCAGUGCUACCUUGGGAAAUUAAAACCGGGUCUAGGCGACUAUCUUUUCAAGAUCAAUUGGCUGCCGAUGAUUAUACUACUUUGAUGAUAGAUGAGUUAGAUGAUCUAGCAGGGCAUCGGCUAAGAGCUUUGAUAAGUAUAGAAGAAAAUAAGAAGAGAGUUGCCAAAUGGUAUGAUAAGAAGGUAAAGGCCAAAGAGUUUGCCGAUGGAGACUUAGUAUGGAAGCUAAUUUACCGAUCGGGACUAAAAGUUCAAAGUUUGGGAAGUGGUCUCCCAAUUGGGAAGGUCCCUAUCGGAUAAAUUGAUCUACUCCUGGCAACGCCUAUAUCUUAGAAACUCUCGAAGGAGUUGAAUUUCCCAGAGCAUUGAACGGCAAAUAUCUAAAGAAAUAUUACCCAAGCAUAUGGGUCGAUGCAUAAAAGUUUAAGCGUCGAUAACAUUCCUAUCGGCUGGAUCAAACUGUAUUUGGGGCCGGAUUUAGUGUUUUGAAAGGGUGCCGAUAACAGUCCUAUCGGCUGGACCAAAAUGAUUAGAAGAAAGAAGCAAAGCACGCCGCCGAUGAAGAAUUUACAUGUUUAAUAGAGCCUAGAUCGUCGAUAUGGCGCGCAGACGGAUCUGAUUGGCUUCUUCUAUCUCCCUCAUGUCAUCAUCGGCAGAGCCUUCCACUGGCUUCAGUUUCUUCUUCAUUUGCAAUGCUUUACGGGCCUGGAUGUUUCGCUCUUGUUCAAGAAUCUUGAUUGCUUCAGGCAGCUGGCUUUCUUCCUGUUGAGCUUGGGACAGAGCUUCUUCCACUUGUCUGAGUUCAGCCAACAGAGCUUCUCUUCUCGUCGAUAGAUCAGAAAUCUUUUGCUUCAGUACAUCUCCUGAGGAUUUCAGAAUGCCGAUACUCUUGUGCUUCUCAUCCGCAAGGAGCUUCACUUCCAUCAUUUCCUUUGAGAUUUAAGCAUGAGCAGCUCUAUCGGCAAGGCGCUGAGCAGCUUUUUGAUACUGCAGCUGACGGCUCUCUAGGUGUGCAGCUUGAAAAAUAAUCUCCUCAGCGUCGGUAGGGAUUUGACCUCUGAGAGCCUUGAAUAGAGCUUUGGCUAGAUCAGAAUCAUCGACCAAUUGCACUGUGUCUUGGUGGAGAAGGGCUGAUAGAUCCGCCAGCUUCGCUCUAAUCUCUGCCGAUGAGAUUCCAAAUGCUCGAGAAGAACUUGCUUCCUCACCUUCAUCUUCAGAGAUCUCGAUGGCAAAGGAGAACAAGCUGUCGGGAGAAUCUUGUUCCUGAAAAUGAAGACAGAAUAAGUUAUUUUAUGAUCAAGUACUGAUAAUAAUAAAAUAAGGAUCGGGUAACUUACUUGCUUCAGAGCUAUUUCUCGCCUCUCACUAGUAGAAGCCGAUGGAACCACAGGUUGAUCGGCUGGGAUUGCCGAUGAGACUAUGUCCACUGAAAGAUUAACAGAGGUAAUUACAGAUUGAAGAAAGUGGGUUCAUCGGCAACAGAUAGAGAGUAUGUUACCUUGAGGAGGUACAGAACUAGUCUGAAUUGAGGAGACCACCGACGCUACGAUUAAGCUUGUUGGAUCGGCAGUCUGCUCGUGUACAUCAGCCGAUGUUUCUUCUAGCUGAGGCUCUUCUGGCUGAGGUUCUUCUAGCUGAAGUUCUUCUGUUUGGGUUUCUUCUUGUGGUUGAAGAGGAGACGGUGCUGGUUGUAUCUGGGCUUCUAGAGAAGAAGGAGAUGAUUCUACUGGGAUUGGAGAUACUGGGGGAGGAGAAGGCGUUGCUGUUCUCUGGCGCUUUGCUUGUAGUUUGGUACCCUUGGAACCUUUUCUCUUCGGUUGACUGGACUGGGGGGCAUCGGCAGUCGCACUUCUGGUCUUUGCCGAUGUACCGGUGUGCUGAUACAACAAGCGAGAAGUUUAUGAGUACAGGUGUAAUAAGUAUAAGAAUGAAAUCGGUAUAAUUUGAAACACUUGAGGAUUUACCUUGAAGGCUUGUGCUAGGGUAGUGGCAGCUACCGAUGGAGAUGUUCUCGUUCGUUUGGUAGUGACUUUCUUAAGGCGUACGCCCCGAUGCAUUAUAGCAGCCAGAGUUGGAGCAUUGUUACCAAUCAAAGAAAUUGGGCCCGAUGGAAGGAGCUCAAUCGGCUUACCACUCCUGCUGACCAAUGGUGCUAUGCCAUCGACCUGUAUGUAAUAAGGAAAGUAAGUUACCGAUGAAAAAAUAAAAGUGAAGGGAUCGAAGCAUCGGUAUUAAAAUACUUACAGUGUUAUCGGGAACUUUGGGGAUCGAUCAUGCCACGGUAUGCGAGAGCCGAACUGCAGAACAGAUGUUCUUUCCAUUCUUCCCACCACUGUUUGUAUGCCUGAGUGAUGAAGAGAGCCAGAAUCCAAGCUGAUAGGUCGACAUCUGUAUCGGCAUUUGGUGGAAGUUGGGCUACCCUAAUCCAUUCCAGAUUGUUGGUAAUGAUCUCCCUCGGCUUUAUCACAUUGGCGUAGCAGAGUGCAAUCGGCAGUUGGCCAAAAGCCAGUUGGCGAGCUAGUGCCGAUGGGUUAUAAAACUCAUAGGUCACAUGGGGGGCUUUCCCACUACCAAAGAAAUUCACUGGUAUGGCUCUUGGGGUGAUAAUUGCCAUCAUCACGUCAUGAUCCUUGUUGAGAGCAUCAUUGAAGGGGUGGAAGAUCAAAGGAAAUCUGGUGUCUGGAUCUUCGUAAGGCAUCCAUGCUCGCUGUUCUCUGGUCAGGCCCUCGUACAGAGUUUGAAAGAAUCGGCUGACCUGGUCUGCGUUGCCACCUGUGCCAGGCAAAACUAUGGCAGCUUCGCCAAAGUUCCGAGGGGAACGAGUUGCCGAUUCUUCUUCAUCCAGCUCAUAAUCUUCGGCUAUGUCCCUGGGGAAGCGCUGCGCAAAGAGGUCGAACUCAAGGCGUUUGUGCAUGUGAAGACUAAGCCACAUAUUGAUGAACUACGAGGGACCUCCUAAGUUGCCGAUGGGUUGACCAAGCAGUAGUUUCCUGGCUAUCUGGUGGAGGAGGUGAUAAGCAGAGCCGAGCAGGUAUCGGCCGAGGGGAAAUCGGCCAGCAUUAGCUAACCUCUCUGCUGCCGAUAGGUAAACAGAGGUUGGUCCUGCCGAUCGACCGCAGAAUACAAACUUGUCCAACCACAUGUUCAAGAAGGUAGUCUAUUCCUUUAUAUUGACAGGCCCCGUUCUACGAUACUUUUGAAUGUACCCAGACCAACCGCCGAUAGCGCGAGUUUCCACCUUAGCGCUAGCUUUGGUGUCGAACAGGUGGCUGUUAUCGGCAGUGGAUAUGUCUAAGCCUGUGAGCAUAAACACAUCGGCAAGUGUAGGAGAAGCAGGGCCAUGGCCAAACACAAAAGCAUUAAGUGUGUCUGACCAGAAAUAUGAUGCAGCGAUCAACAGCGACUCAUUUCUAUCCAUAUCGGCAAGGGACGGUCUAAUGCACUGGUCCAGUUUUCGCUCGCCCCAUUGAACCUCAUUUGCAUGGCUGACUCUCAAGAACCAAUCCUUCCAUCCCUUGGUAGGACUGGGCCAGGAACGGAAGACAUCUUUCCAUAGAUCUAGAGAAAAAAUUUUGGCUCUAAAAGGAAUUCUGUUUGUCUCUGCGUUUAUCAGAUCGGUGGGAUCUAGGUUCCCUAGCGGGCCGAGACAUUGGAGGUGUGGUUGAUCGGUAGGGAUGACAAUCUUAUUGGACAAAUCCUAAAAGUUUUAAGGAUAAAAAGAAGAACAAAAGAAAAAAAGAGGGAUGUUCAGUAAGAUGAAUUGCAGAUGAACAGGGGUAUGGUAAAAAUACAGGAGACAGGGUGGUAAACUGACCUUAGGAACAACAAAGUUGAUGGCCAUCUCCUCGCAGGGAAGAAGAUCGAAGAUUUUGGGGUUGGUAGAGAAAGGCCUUCGUUGGAGAUCUUGGAAACCUCAGGUGGUGCCGCCGCCGUGAAAGUGGGUUUUUGGCUGUAGAAUGACAAGAUGGAGGAGUACCCGAGAAGGAAGUAUUUAUAGGACAAAACGGGUAGGCGCAAAUCUGACUUAUCUCUUCGCCGCAUCCGUGAAAUCCGAGGGUGUUCAGGUGAAUAUGGUAACUGUUCGCACGAUAAUCAAGGGAUUGCACAGGUGAUUUGACAGCAAGCGGUCGUGAUUUUGGAGAUAUUUCACUGUGCAAGAUCUCCUGGUCGGCCCAUCGGCAGUUCCCUCUAACGGUAAUAUUGCCGAUGGGUUGUUCGACUUCAACGGUCGAUUGCCAAAUUGGGAGAGUUAAUUGCGGAAAGGCAUCAUUAUUGCAGAGAAUUUCGGAGCAUUAAUGAUUUUAUACUCCAAAAUUGGGGGGCAUGUGUUGACGCCGUUUUUUGACGCGUACCCAGGAAUCGGUAAAGAAUAGAUCGGCAGAAGGAACAACGGUAACUGGUCUACAGGGAAGUUGCCGAUGAGGGUGAUUGUCGAUGAAGAGACGGCUGAAUGUGACUAAGUCCAGAAGUGGUGACGCGUUCGUGCUGAUGGUCAGCGUUAGUCUUUGCCGAUGAUUAUGAUAAGAAGUCUGCCGAUAACUCGGAAGAAGAACGUGAAGGCUGCCGAUUGACCUGUGGUGGUGUCUCGGUAUGUUACGGGAGGAUAGUUUUAUGUUUUCCAUAGAUAUUUUAAUUCGUUUUGUAUACGAAUUCCGAUUAAUUUGGAGUUCGAGUCCUAGUCGUGUCUGAUUGUAGCUCUUUGAGCAGGGUAUAAAUGUAGACCCUAGGGCCUUGUAAUUAGACAUCUAUCAAUCAAUCAAACACAAGUUUUUACUCAUAUUCCAGCAUCUACUUUUUCGACGACUUCGUCAUAUCUUCCUUUUUACUACGAGUUCUUAAGAAUUCAUCGACUUAAGCACGGCAUGUUCUCAAGUUCCGCGUGAUCACCUCUUGGCCGUGACAUCCGGGCGCAUCGCUAUUGUCGGGACCAAAGUGGUCGAGUUAUCACCUUUGCCGAUAGUAAGGUCAAAUCGGCUGGCACGCCUUAACGUUUGAAUCGGGUAUUAGCCCUUUGUGUUUGCAGAUCAACUUUUGCACCAACACAUGUUUAUGUUUGAUUUGGAUCUUUGUAAUGAGUGUAAUGAUUUUGUGAGUUUCUUCACAAUUUCAUUUAAUUUAUAGAACUAAGGCAUAAGGACUAAUGAAAUAAGUAGUUGGGUUUGGCUAUCUCUUGCUUCUAUCCCUUGCUGAUUUCUGGAGCAGUUUGUAAUAAUGCUGGUGUAUCUCAACUUUUGUUCGUGCAAAGUUUAUCAAGUUUUUAUGGGAACAACUAGACUCCAAGAUCUUUCUUUGACCUCAAGAAUGACCCCCAUAUCUAUUUUGGAAUUGGAGUUAUGAAAAUCACAAUUUGAUGCAGCUGCGCUGUCAAGAAUCUGUACCAGUUUCGGUUUCUUACUGUUUUAUACAUAUAUAACUAUAGAAUUUGGAAAAGUAUUCUAUAGAAAAGUUGUGGACAAUUUUCUAUUCUUUCCAACGGUAUAAGCUGAAACUUAUUUGGAUAAGUAUAAACUGAGAUAUGAUAUUUACAAUUGGAUGUUUCUGUUUUGUAUCAAAGUCUGGACAGUUUUGAUAUUCCCUAUUUUCGGCCAAGUUGAAGACAGAAUCUGGGAAAACGUGGUAUACAAAAGGUGUAGAGAAUUUCCUAAGAUUUUCAAAAAUGUAAGGAUCAUCUCCAGAUGAGUUAAGUAGCUCUAGAUAUAAUUUUUUGAAGUUACAGAACCUUUGCUGAGACAUUAUCAGGAAGGAUAUUAUAUUUGGCUAUUUUACUUAAGCUUAAAGACAGAACCUAAGGAGGUCUUCUACAUGAAAGUGGUAGAGAAUUUCAUAAGUUUUCUAACGGUUUAAGCUAUAACUCUGUUGGAUUAACAGAAUAAGAGUUAUAUGUGUUUUAUUACGCUGGUGUUUUCAUAUCAUGAGAAAAAUUUAGGAUACCUGUUUGUUCUCCCCUUACACCUAAGUUCUUUGGGACGUCAGAGGUUCUCAAUGUUAGUUGACCUGCCUGGAAAACAUGCAAGCUACCUUUCUUGUGUCCCCUAGUUGACCUUCUUAAGGGGGGUAGCCCAAAUAAAGGGGUUACAUGGAGAAGAAUUGGAUAAUGUUGGAUCAAGAGACUCGAUACCAUGAAUGUAAAAGACUAUGAUGUGUGGCGUCCAAAAAGGAUAGGAGAACUAGUCCCUAGUGUCCCCCAAUCAAUCUAAUUUUAAGGGGGUAGUACCUGGAUAUCACGGGUGAUGCAUUUUAAAACUAGCUUGGAGUGAUAAUUGUCUUAUGGGAUAUUCUAUGGUUAUGAUCAUCAAUUCUUGCCGUGUUACUGACGUUGGUCACUUGAUGACAGGGAGUGUAGUGUCCCAUGAAUCCGGAGCACAAUAUGACACCUCUCAUGGAUAGGUGGGAAGAAUAUGAUCAUCUUGCCUUUGAAGAAAGAUGCUAUGAGUAUGACAAAGCUGAGUGUUAUCAAAAUAAUAAUAUGGAAGAGCAAGUUGACAAUGAAUCAAAUCAAAAUCCACAACGACGAAAGCGUAAAAGGAAAGCUCGUAAGAAGCCUGCUCUCGGAAAUAAAGUACAACGAAAUUAUAUUAAUGGAAGACUGAACAAUGUGGAUAUGCAUAACAUUCAAGGAGCCACCAAAGUGGUGGGAGGCUAUAUUCAAGUGGACUCAGUGCUAGUUUUUGCUUUGUUUGACCGAAGUGCUUCGCAUUCUUUUAUUUCCGCCGACUUGGUAAAGACAAUCGAGCGAGUGAAGUGUCCAACGAGGAAGCCAUUGCUAGUUCAAACCCCAAUGGGAGAGAUACAGGCAGAUCAGGUUUGCUCGAAUAUCAAUCUUGUCAUAAAGAAGGAAAACUUUACAGUAAACCUCAUUGUGCUUGAGUCACUCAAAAUUCCUUUGGUUCUUGGCAAUGGAUGGUUAUGUGCAUACAAGGCAGUGAUCUAUGCUACCCAGUGGAAAAAUUUCUUAACCGCACCAUCAGGGAAAAGAAUUGAGUAUCAAGGUGGUCCACUCUUACCUGAGGAGGCAUAUCCAUGCUAAGCUACCAUGUCUUUGAAUUGUAUAAGUCAAAAAGUUGGUAGUCAAGAUGGAUUUUAAUUAGCUAUGAAUAAUAGACAUUUCAUGGAUGUUUUGUUUACAAGUUGUGAUCCCGAGACAUAAAUGUUUACAUUGGAAUACAAGUUGUGAAGUUGAAAUAGAUAUCAAGAUCUUGUUCUUGUCUCCCUUUUGGAAUCCGUGUCUCUUCCGAAUCUCGAGGACGAGAUUCAUUUUAAGGGGGGUAGAUUUGUAACACCCAAAAGUUUGCUUUUGAAUUAAUAGGGUUUAAUUGGAUUUAUUUCAAUAUUUGUGUGAGCAUUUAAAGUAGCAAAUAAAUAUUUUUUUUGGAAAUUAAAAUUUAUCAUAAGCUUAGUAACAAUGUUUUGUGCAUUCAUGCUGAGACAUAUUUUAUUUUAUGAUGAUUGUUUUUGGUUUGUAUUUAAUUGUUCUCAAAAUCCUUUUUGAAAAAGGCUUUAAAAAAAAGAUAAGAAAGCCUCCCUGGAUCUGGCCGAGGCCCAACUCUUCCUCUCCCUCUUUCUUUCCUCUGUUGGGGCUCGCGGCCCAUCUAACCUCCCACUUCUAUCCCCGUUGGCCCAGCACGCGCAGCAAGCCCGCCUUCCUCUCUCGGCCCAAUGGCCAGCCCAGUCGCGCGCGGCUCUCCCCCACGUCACUGAUCGCCCGGACCUGCUCUCUCUCUCCCGCCGACGUGUUAGGCCCGCCGGUCAGCGACUCCCUCCCCUCCUUUCUCCUUCCUCGCGCGUGUCCGAGAAGGACUCCUCCCCCAACCGACCCCAAUCCCGAUUUAGGCGGGAUAUGCUUUCCCUGACCCCUAUAAAGUCCUAAGCAUCGUACCCCGCGCGCUUGCUUUCUGUUUCCACCGCAAAAUCGAGCCCUAGCCGCCACGAACGCUGAAGUUUGGAUCUCGCCGAGCUUGGAGUCGAACUGCCACCGCCGCGAGUCCUUUCCCUUGCUCCUCGGCCCGAGAAGAGUUGCUAGGUGAAACCACGGUGAGCUCCUCGUUCUACCGGAGUUUUCCUUUCGCAGUUUGGUGCACAGAAACGUGAAAACCGUGACUCCGGUGAGCCCCAUCAAUGGCGCCGCCGCCGGAGGCUUGAAUUCCGGCAAGCCCGCCGCCGGAGACUCCCUGGAGAUGCUCUGGGGCGUUCAAUCGACGAUCAACGGCUGUAAUAAGAAGAUACCCCUUCGCCGGGAUUUUUGCUAAAGAGACCCCCUGGAUCUGAGAAACCAACCCGCGGCCCCUUGCGUAUUCCCCGUUUACGUUUUCAAAUUCUUAAGACGCAUUCUGUUUCGGCUUAGAAGAAAAUACGUUUUCUGUUAUUUACAGUUUUGCCAUUGAAACUGAUUUGGUCAUAAAAUGCUCAUUUUUAAUCCGAUUUGGUCCAUUCAAAUUUCGUUAGAUUCAUAAUCAUGAGCUCUACAUGUUAGUAAAAUUGUUUACUCGGUUUGAAACUUUUUAAUUUUAUGGUACUAUUUAAUUAAUUAUUUAUCUAUAGGAAAUCUUAGAAAAUUCAUAUCUUUUUCGUUUUAACUCCGAUUUUUGUGAUCUUUACGUUUGUGUGAUCGUAGCGCUGCGAAUAAUAUUUUGGUAAACUUUUAUAUUUGUUUUAACACUGUUUGGUGUAUUGUUGUAAUUAUAGUUUGUUUGCUUCAUGUAUGAUUGUCUACUUUGGAUUGCGUGUUGUUGAUUGAUGAUCGGGUAUAGACGGUGAGCGAUACGUUGGUGAUCAAGAUCAAGCUUUUGACGACCAGCAGCAGGCUCAGAAGAGCUUUGAUCAAGGCAAGUAUAACUUGGGGCUAUCCUUGUUACCUAUACACAAUUAAUACAAUAUAUAUAUAUCAUAUGCAUGUGUCCACCUUGAUGACCUUAGCAAAAUCUAGAUGAUUGUUAUCCUGUAAUCCUUGUUACCUAUUUUGGAUAUGCAUUUGGGUAGUUCUUGCUAGUGCUUGAAUAUAAUCCAUGAUCUUGUAACAUGAAUAUUUGGAUAUACAAUAAACAAUAAAAUAAGCUUUCUAGCAACUUGACUAUAAAGGGUGGAAAGAACUCUAGCUUUUGCUGGAUUGAUCUUGACCCUCCAUAAGGACUUAUCCCUUGGCAAAAGCUGAGACAACUCGUACAACCAUGAGGGCUAUAUGGCUCUGGCUUUAGUCAAGUAUGAGUAACUUUUCUAGCUCGUUAGCGGUUACCCGUUGUGGCGCAAUUGGGAAUAGCAGACCGUGGAUUCCUGCUGGUGAAUCACAUGGACUGACUAAUGAAACAAAGCGGCCCUAACUUGUUAGACGAACCUUUGAAAGACUUCAUAGUGAACCCUGCCGACCUUCCUUGGUAGUGGGUUAAGAGGUCGACGGGCCUCGGGCGAAAGGGUAAAUCAUGACUCAUGGGUAAAGAUGUACAACCUCUGUAGAGUGUUAAAUCUGGUAUACUAGCCGUGCCCACGGAUACGGGCGGCUCGGAAAAAUGACGGAAUAGCUGGACACUGAUGAACAUGAUUAAUGAUGAUAAAUGAUGGUUUAUUAUGUUGUUUAUAUGUGUUAUUCUUAAUUCUUGUAUAGAUUGAUCAUGUGGUUAUGGGAUUUAAUAUGCUACCUUGAUAUUGCUAUCCAAUGAUUAAAUAUGCUAUUCACAUAUAAAAGCUAAAUGCAGUCAAACCAGUGUCAACUUAUUGAGCCUCAUGAACCCCUGGUUAUACUUGUUGAGUACGAUAUGUGCUCACUCUUGCAAUUUCCCCACACCUCAGGAGAAGUUUUGGGCUUGUGAUCAACCAGUCAGUUGGAUCCUGUGGAGAGGAGUUAAUACCCGAAGUUUAGAGUUGUCUAUCCGCUGUUUGCUAUUAAAUGUUAUCUCUUUUGUACUAAGUACGUUAUAUAUUUAUGUGUUGUCUUUUGAUAUUACCCCUUACUUGUAGCUAUAUGUGAGAUUUGGCCUUUAAUACUCGCAUAUGGUGCAUAUCUGGUUUUGUCCUUAAAAUCGGGUAUUACAGAUAUCAACACCUUCGUGAGCUUGAAAGGCUAUCUCUAGGCCAUUGAUAAUAAUUUGAUGGACUAGUGGACUUGGACUUGUAUAAUUUGGCUUGUGAUUUGGACAUUUGGACAUGAUUUGUGGAUGCAAAUUUGAUACAUAUAUAUGCUUCUGUGGAUGCAUAUUGGAUACAUAUAUGUGGACUUGUCGAUGUAUAUAUAUAUAUAUGUGUUUGCUGUUGUGGUCAGAUUUAAUAUACAUAUAAUUAUUUUUUUUCUGGAAACUCACUGUAGGGGCGGCUGGUACUAGAACCACCCCUACAAAGCAUUUGUAAGGGAAGCCAGUGUUAAAUCGACCCCUACAAAUAGCAUUCGCAAGGGCAGCUGGUGUUUCGAGCCGCCUUUACAAAUACAUUUGUAGGGCCAUUUGUAAGGGUGGUCAAAUCCAUGAUUUAUAAGAGCGCUUGGACAAGGGCGGGUGGCCCAAUCGUCCUUACAAAGGGUUUUGAGCUGCCCUUAAAAAUCCUGGUUGUAGUAGUGAAAGAUAUAUAAGCACCACCUACAUGAAGACAUUAGCAGGUUUAUUCAGCACAGAAAUGUGAAAAGCAAAUUUUCUAUAUCUUGCUCCCGACGAGGCUCUACUAGCAAUGUGUCCAAACAUGUUGCUCAUCAUUGGGGGCAUGAGAAGCAUUCAUGUCCAAACAUGUUGCUCAGUGAUAGCUGACCUAAACAUGUAAGGCAUUUGUGAAAAAAAUAUAGCAGAUCGAUCGAGGGAAGAGGUAGUUUUAAUGUUUCCUUACAUUUUCUUUUUGCGAGUAUGUUUUCUGACAUUUUCCUUUUUUAAGUAUUACUGUAACAUUAGCAGAUUAGCUAGUAUGGCUGUGCAAGAAUUGUGUUCAGAAUGUUAUCUGACCCAUAUCAGACUACCUCAGCCCGACUUUUGUUCGCUCUUAUCAAACUAGCUACUGCAUGUGGACGCUGAGGGUUCAAGCUAUCAAGGAUUGUUUGGCUACUUAUACAGCUGGCAAUGUACUGAUUAAGUAACUAACCUUGUGAGCUCUCUUUCUUAUCGAGAUUUCCAGGUACACAGAGUAGUAGUUCUUAAGUCCAUGACUGAAUUUGUCAAAGUCGUUGUGAAAACCCCGAGGACACCUCUGCAAUGUCAACCACUGUACGAGGAAUAGAAUCGUUCGGGUGAUCAGAGGAUGCCUGUGUGGACCUUCAAACGUGCUGUCCGUCAAGACUUCAUGCAUGCAGGGUCAUCGUUUACUAGUUUUAAUGUUAGUAUAAUGCUACAGCCUGAUCACAAAAGAAAUAUAAAACUCUGGGUUACAUUAUUAUAAGGUUGAUCCUGUUCUCUUUUGAUUUUCGUGUCACAGGCUAGCUGUGCAUGUUUCAUGCUGGAGAGAAUGGCCAAACGCAGAGUCAUGAGCAUGCAUGAGAGUAUAUUGUUGUAUGCAUGCAUUAGAGCUUGGAAGUUGCUAGUACUAUUCUUUUCUGUAUGGGAUCUUUAUCCAGCAACACAAUAUAUACCGAGACAAAGCAUACAAGUAAUUUUAUUGGAACUAGAUCCAGCUUUCAGCUAUAUAUGAGGCAAAGCAGUACUGUCACUAAAAUAUUUCACACGUUUAGUAUAAAUGCUGGUCCAAAAAUUGGCAAUGACUCGAUGCAUAACUUCAUUGUAUAUUGAGAUGAAGAAUACAAACAAGUGAACUACUUAAACCAGAGCAACAAGCUGGUUUAGUUUCAAUGGGCCUUCGAAACACCGAUGAAUGCUAAAACUUUGUGCCAUCCAUUAUCUUAUCUAUGGGGAUGAGACUUAGCUGACCAUCUAGACAGAACGUGACAAGUGCCAUCCAUCACCUUGCUAGUUGCAUGUAAUUUAUGGUCAAGUCAAGAAGCUCCAUUAAUUCCAUUGGAUUUUAAAAGCCUCCACUUGGUCUCCUAUUGAAACACCACUACCAUACGUGCAUGCUCUAUAUGGAGGUAAAGAACCACUGCAUGCAUGGCCUCAAGCACUAUAAAUACCCAUGCAGCAUUCACUGGGAAGUCAUCCCAACUCAAGCAGUCCAUAGUGUUAGCUCACAAUGGCAGGCACAAAGCUCGUAUCACUAGGGCUCAUUGUCCUCAUGAGCAUAGGAUUAGCCAAUGCUGUUAGGGUGGCUAGAUACUCUAGUGCUGAUGGGACUGGCACAGGGCAGGGAGGGGGUGGUGGAUAUGUGAAUGGUGGGGGAUCAGGGUCUGGGUCUGGCACCGGAUCAGGUGAUAGUGGCCCUUAUGGUUCCCAUGCAAGUGCUGGAGGGGGCGGUGGAGGUGGUGGAACUAGCCAAUACGGUGGGUCUGGAUAUGGUUCAGGGUCAGGGUUAGGUUCAGGGUCUAGUACAUAUAGUCAAGGACGGUAUUCUGGCUAUGGAGAGUCUUCUAAUGCUGGUGGUGCCGGUGGGGGUGGGGGUGGAGGACAAGCCGGAGGUGCCUGGAAUUCCAAUGCUCAAGGAUCCGGUAGUGGCACCGGUUCUGGCUCUAGCUAUGCUAACAGGAAUUGGUAUGGAUCAAGUCAAGCAGGUGCACGUGCUAAUGGCAAUGGUGGUGGCACAGGAAAUAGUCAAAAUGGUGGCGGUGGCGGCGGUUCUGGUGCCGGAACUGGAUAUGGCAAUGCCUACCCAUAAACUCCUUAUAAUAAGUCAAUCCGAAGUUGGACCAUCGUAGUAUUUCCUUGUUUGAAGUCGUAGAGUUAUUUGUUUUCUUUGUCCCUUUGUUACACUUUCGUUAGCAGUGAAUUAAUAAAGGGUCCAACUGCUCUAGCAACAGUAGCAGUCUUGUAAGGUCCUUAUAUGAAGAUGUUGUAACCAUGUCUGUUUGUGAAAGGAAAAGAUAACUUAUGCAUCAUGUGGCCACUGUAUCUAAAAAAUUUCUUAUGUUCCCUUUGGAGUGAUUAAGUUGAGAUGCCUACACCAUGCAUAUUAACAUGGUUAUUGAAUUAUAUACCAUUGAAUUUCCUAGAGUUGUUUAUAUCACUUAAUUAUGACGAUAACUCCAACUAGGUCAAUCCAUUCUAGAACAUAAUUAGCAAGAACUGCUGGCACAAGCCCAUUUAUGUCAAUCAGCCUAGAACAUAAUUAGCAAGAACCACAUGAUUAUAUAAAUACCCUAAGUACAUAUUUAGGUGAAGGCUUUACGUUAAUCAUUUGUGUAGCCUAGUUUGGUGGUCAAUGUUUUCUACAUUCGUGCAUUGUGCUUCUUCGCUCUCGUGAAUGGCUAAUCAACAAGAUGGAUACUUGAUGUCCAGUUCUUUUCAAUUAUUCGUCUUCCAUCACUGAUCAGUCCAUAUCAUCGUACUUUUAAAUGACACAUUACAGUUCACAUUAAUAUUGAUUUCUAAUGCAUAAUUUAGAUCUCAUUUAGAGUGUCGCUUAAGACUUAGCGCCCUAUAAUAGAUUUCGUUUGGGGAGGGCAACAGAGUAUAUGAGGCAGCUCUAUUGCGUCCCGUGCGUGGUUGGUCACCAGGUCGACAUUCUGGUUCCUCGAUUGCAGGCCUUGUAGGAGGAUCACGGAAAACGGAAUGGAAGAGAGGCCAUAUCUGCUAUCUUUAGGUCAUUGCACUCAUCUUGUUGUUCACAUAUGGAUCACGGAUGGAUGUACUGUUUGGGUCACCUCUAUUAUCCGAAGAGCAGGAGUUGUCCCUUAGAUUUCUUUUAUUACCUUUGUCUAUAUGGCGCAACGGAUAAUCUCAUGGAGAAGAGGCUUUGCCUUGGGGCCCUUGGUGGCGAAGUUCCUGUUUGACUCAUCACUUGACUUGAGCUUGUGUCUUCACUAUUCACCCACUCUUGAAUUUUCAUCAUGUUCCUGCAUAUGUACCUGAGAAAUGGUGAAGUUGAAAGAUAGGUUUCAUUCUCUUUGGCCACAAUAUUCAUCUGAAGAUCACGAGCAAUAUUUUAUUGAUAGCUUCAUUGGGUGUCAUCUUGUCAAGAUAAUUCCCUUAGAUAAUGGAGUUGACCAAGUUAUAGUCAAGUUUAUUUGAAAAUGAUUUGAUGAUUUUCCUCACAUCCUCAUGUUGCUCUAGUUGCUUCAAACCUAGACCAUUAAUCUCAAUGAUAAGAAUAUUCAAACAUGAGAGCAUGUACUAGUGUAAUUUUUCUGUUGCAGUCUGUAGUAGUAUAAAGCCAAAACAUGUUAUAGAUAUUAUCAGAAUUCAAGAAAUCGCUAUGCCAAAAUUGCCCCAUUAUAUAUAAUAUUAAGUUGCUCAAUUCAUCUACAUAUUAUAUAAAAUAUGCCCAAGCAAGAAUAAGUAACAAUAUUUUGAUCAAGCUUCUCAAAAAAUAAAAUUUAGGACAAUCCUAGUAGAUAGCAUGAAGUUCUGUCUGAAGCUCCACUGGCUCAUUGUAUAUCUACUAAAGUUACUCCUCUUGAGCUACUGUAUUGACAAGAAGCUUUGUUGCCCGUUGAAGUAAAUCUAGAUGCAUAUAGAUUUGGCUAAGCAAAAUGAUCAAUCUGUUGUUAUAUAUCAUGAUUUAAUGAUGGACAAUGUCGACAAGGUAAAGAACUAAAGCCUAAAGGCUCUAAAGUAUAUUGAGAGAAACAAAGCUAGUGUUGCCUAGGCUUACAACAAGAAUGUGAAAAGUAAAUAGUGUGUAUCAUGCACCUGAUGAGGCUCCACCAGCAAUGUGUCAUGCAUAUCGUGCUCAGUGUUGGGGGACCGCGUUAGGCGUUCAUGUGCAACCAUGUUGUUCAGUGAUGGCUGACCUAAAAGUUGGGUAGGCUGAUUUUGGCCUGCAUCAAUUGAGCAUUCUAGCUCUUUGCUAGUGUGUAUGACCUAAUUGCUGUCAACACAUCGAAGCACUCAAGUCUGGGUGUCAUCAUGGUAUAGUUAAGCAACUGACGAGGCAUUUGUGAAAAUAUAUAUAGCAGACGGUUUUAAUGUUUCCUUACAUUUUCUUUUUGCGAGUAUGUUUCCUUACAUUAGUAUUGUUACUUUAGCAGAUUAGCUGGUAUGGCUGUGUAAGAAUUUAGUUCACAAUGUUAUCUGGCUACUAUCAGACAAUCUCGGCCCGACUUUCGUCCACUCUUAUCGAACUACUGCAAGUAGACGCUUAGAGGGUUCAAGCCUUCAAGGACUGUUUCGCUACUUAUACAGCUUGCAUUGUACUGAUUAAUUAACCUUGUGAGCUGUAUUUCGUAUCGAGAUUUCCAGGUACACAGAGCAGUAGUUCUUAAGUCCAUGACUAAGUUUGUCAAAAUCUUUGUGCAAAUCUCGAGGUCACCUCUGCAAUGUCAACCGCUGCAUGAGGAAUAGAAUCAUUCGGGUGAUCAGGGGAUGCCGGUGUUGACCUUCAAACACGCUGUCCGUGAAGACUUCAUGCAUGCAGGUCGUCGUUUACUAGUUUUAAUGUUAGUAUAAUGCUAGAACUUGAUCACAAAAGAUAUAUAACACUCUGGGUUACAUUAUUAUACGGGUGAUCCUGUCAUCUUUUGAUUUUCAUGUCUCCAGCUAGCUGUGCAUGUUUCAUGCUUGAGGGAAUGGAUAUAUAACACUCUGGGUUACAUUAUUAUACGGGUGAUCCUGUCAUCUUUUGAUUUUCAUGUCUCCAGCUAGCUGUGCAUGUUUCAUGCUUGAGGGAAUGGCCAAAUGCAGAGUCAUGAGCAUGCAUGAGAUUAUAUUGUAGUAUGCAUGCAUUAGAGCUUGGAAGUUGCUAGUGCUAUUCUUUUCUGUAUGGGAUCUUUGUCCAGCAACACAAUAUAUACCGAGACAAAGCAUACAAAUAAUUUUUAUGGAACUAGACCCAGCUUUCAUCUAUAUAUGAGACAAAGCAGUAUUGUCACUGAAUAUUUUCACACAUUUAGUAUAAAUGCUGGUCCAAAAAUCAGCAAUGACUCGAUGCAUAUCUUCACUGUAUAUCGAAAUGAAGAAUACAAACAAGUAAACUACUUAAACUAGAGUAACAAGCAGGUUUAGUUUCAAUGGGCUUUCCAAACAGCGAUGAAUGCUAAAACUUUGUGCCAUCCAUUAUCUUAUCUAUGGACAUGAGAUUUAGCUGACCACCUAGACAAAGCGUGGCAAGUGCCGUCUAUCACCUUGAAACUUGCAUGUAAUUUAUGGUCAAGUCAAGAAGCUCCAUUAAUUCCAUUGGAUUUUAAAAGCCUCCACUUGGUCUCCUAUUGAAACACCACUACCAUAUGUGCAUGCUAUGGAGGUAAAGAACCACUGCAUGGCCUCAAGCACUAUAAAUACCCAUGCAGCAUUCACUGGGAAGUCAUCUCAACUCAAGCAGCCCAUAUUGUUACCUCACAAUGUCAGGCACAAAGCUUGUAUCACUGGCGCUCAUUGUCCUCAUGAGCAUGGGAUUAGCCAAUGCUGUUAGGGUGGCUAGAUACUCUAGUGCUGAUGGGACUGGUACAGGACAGGGAGGGGGUGGCGGAUAUGUGAAUGGUGGGGGAUCAGGGUCUGGGUCUGGAACCGGAUCAGGUGAUAGUGGUCCUUAUGGUUCCCAUGCAAGUGCUGGAGGGGGCGGUGGAGGUGGUGGAACUAGCCAAUACGGCGGGUCUGGAUAUGGUUCAGGGUCAGGAUCAGGUUCAGGGUCUAGUACAUAUAGUCAAGGACGAUAUUAUGGCUAUGGAGGGUCUUCUAAUGCUGGUGGUGCCGGUGGGGGUGGGGGUGGAGGACAAGCUGGAGGUGCCUGGAAUUCCAAUGCUCAAGGAUACGGUAGCGGCGCCGGUUCUGGCUCUAGCUAUGCUAACAGGUAUUGGUAUGGAUCAAAUGACGCAGGUGCUAACGCUAAUGGCAAUGGUGGUGGCACAGGAAAUAGUCAAAAUGGUGGCGGUGGCGGUGGUUCUGGUGCCGGAACUGGGUAUGGCAAUGCCUACCCAUAAAUUCCAUAUAAGCCAAUCUAAAGUUGGAGCCCAUCGUAGUCUUUCAUUGUUUGAAGUCAUAAAGUUUUUUGUUUUCUUUGUCCCUUUGUUGCACUUUUGUUAGCAGUAAAUUAAUAAAGGGUCC